CGGACGGGUGAGUAACACGUGGAUAACCUACCUAUAAGACUGGGAUAACUUCGGGAAACCGGAGCUAAUACCGGAUAAUAUAUUGAACCGCAUGGUUCAAUAGUGAAAGACGGUUUUGCUGUCACUUAUAGAUGGAUCCGCGCCGCAUUAGCUAGUUGGUAAGGUAACGGCUUACCAAGGCAACGAUGCGUAGCCGACCUGAGAGGGUGAUCGGCCACACUGGAACUGAGACACGGUCCAGACUCCUACGGAGGCAGCAGAG
Molecule: ribosomal RNA, 262 nt
Filed under: uncultured Staphylococcus sp.
Lineage: Bacteria; Bacillati; Bacillota; Bacilli; Caryophanales; Staphylococcaceae
Description: partial 16S ribosomal RNA
Rfam family: Bacterial small subunit ribosomal RNA
Source: RNAcentral